Molecule: ribosomal RNA, 254 nt
Filed under: uncultured bacterium
Lineage: Bacteria
Description: partial 16S ribosomal RNA
Rfam family: Bacterial small subunit ribosomal RNA
Source: RNAcentral
UACGGGGGGAGCAAGCGUUGUUCGGAUUUACUGGGCGUAAAGGGCGCGUAGGCGGCCAGCACACGUCAGUUGUGAAAUCUCCGAGCUUAACUCGGAACGGUCAACUGAUACUGUGCGGCUAGAGUGCGGAAGGGGCAACUGGAAUUCUUGGUGUAGCGGUGAAAUGCGUAGAUAUCAAGAGGAACACCUGCGGCGAAGGCGGGUUGCUGGGCCGACACUGACGCUGAGGCGCGAAAGCCAGGGGAGCGAACGGG